Cherax quadricarinatus is the source of this 105-nucleotide small nuclear RNA. The record is from RefSeq and is a predicted model, not a curated record. Lineage: Eukaryota; Metazoa; Arthropoda; Malacostraca; Decapoda; Parastacidae.
GAAAGCUUGGGCAGUACAUAUACUAACACUGGAACAAUACAGGGGAGAUUAGCUUGGCCGCUGCACAAGGAUAACAAGCAAAGUCGUGAAAUAAGUCACUUUGUC